CCAGGAUUUGGAAGCAGAUUUAUUUUAUGUCAGAUGGGCACUGACUAGGAAUCAAUUUUUCCUCAAAAUGUCAGGCCCUGAUCUCUGGUGGUUUGUGGUUUGGAAGCAGAGUACUUGGCUCUCUUUGAUUGGUUCUUACAAUAUGCAUCACAGUGACCAGUCGUUUCUAGGAGACAGAAGUAAUACGAACUUGUGAGGAAAUAUUACCUGGGCAACUAACAGACUGGCUGAGGGGCAUUUUCUGCCACAUUUCUCCCCUCUUUCAGUUUUCCCAGCAAAUCUUUUUUGGGCAUAUUACACUUGAUCUUUUGAGACAAGGCCCAACUAGAAGCAGUAACAUGAGGGUUGUCAGUAAUCCUAGCCAAGGUGCCCAAGAUUGUCUUAUUGUAGAGUUUUUCCCUAAGCUGACUCUAACAAGAAAGUGAAAGAGUAAAUCUGAUCUAGGAGAGUAUCCAAUGUGCCUUGGGCACUCACCAAAUCUUUAUCAUUUGUAAGGGCUUUACUGGUUAUUUUCUAAAGGCAAUCAUCCAUAGAGCUAAGGCAAAGCAAGGGCUGGGGUUAGCAGCCCGAAAAGGCACAAAAAUCAAUGGGAAUAAGUAUGGGGCAAUUCUGUGAAUGGUAUCCUCAGGCUUCAGCUAUGCAUGGACUGGUCCAUGUCCAGAGGGACCAGAGCAGGGCUCUGAGUGCAUGCUGUCUUCAGAGUGAGCUCUCUGGUCCAGGGACCAUGACAGAGCUGGAAGGAACAGAGAAACAGGCUGUCCCAUGAUGAAGACCAUUAUGAAGCAGCCCUAAGCAGGACUUUAACCAACUGGCUUUUCAUGUUUACUUGUAAUUCUCUCCAAAGACUAGGCCCCUUGUCUGAAGAUGGGCAGUGGAUUCAUAGCCUCUGUGAGUCAUUGGUCCCUACUGAGGCCUGUAAUGGUGGGUGAAGCCAUGAAGCCUCAAAGGGUAAGACAAGGUCACAGCUAAGGACACCUGGCUCCAACCUCAACUAGAUAAAGGCUAUAGCCUCAGGCAUCUCACUCCUGGGUAGAGACCAUCCUGCAGUUAACAUAGCUCUCCUAAAUCAAUACAAUACCUUACUUGGAGAAGUCCUUGAGUGGUUCCCCUCUUCUUGAGUAUUCAUCUCCC
Molecule: long non-coding RNA, 1131 nt
Filed under: Chinchilla lanigera (long-tailed chinchilla)
Lineage: Eukaryota; Metazoa; Chordata; Mammalia; Rodentia; Chinchillidae
Description: lncRNA (ENSCLAG00000029165.1)
Source: RNAcentral